UACGUAGGUGGCAAGCGUUGUCCGGAUUUACUGGGCGUAAAGAGCGCGCAGGCGGUCGCUCAAGUCGCGUGUGAAAGCCCCCGGCUCAACUGGGGAGGGUCACGCGAUAUUGAUCGACUGGAAGGCAGGAGAGGGUAGUGGAAUUCCCGGUGUAGUGGUGAAAUGCGUAGAUAUCGGGAGGAACACCAGUGGCGAAGGCGACUACCUGGCCUGUUCUUGACGCUGAGGCGCGAAAGCAUGGGGAGCGAACAGG
Molecule: ribosomal RNA, 253 nt
Filed under: uncultured bacterium
Lineage: Bacteria
Description: partial 16S ribosomal RNA
Rfam family: Bacterial small subunit ribosomal RNA
Source: RNAcentral